Molecule: transfer RNA, 76 nt
Filed under: Clostridiales bacterium
Lineage: Bacteria; Bacillati; Bacillota; Clostridia; Eubacteriales
Description: tRNA-Ala
Rfam family: tRNA
About the family: Transfer RNA (tRNA) molecules are approximately 80 nucleotides in length. Their secondary structure includes four short double-helical elements and three loops (D, anti-codon, and T loops).
Source: RNAcentral
GGGGCGUUAGCGCAGUUGGGAGCGCACAACACUGGCAGUGUUGGGGUCAGGGGUUCAAAUCCCCUACGCUCCACCA